CCUACGGGUGGCUGCAGUGAGGAAUAUUGCGCAAUGCCCGCAAGGGUGACCCAGCAACGCCGCGUGGAGGAUGAAGGCCGUAAGGUUGUAAACUCCUGUUAGAGGAGAAGAAUAGUACCGAUUGGAUCGGUAUUUGACUGUACCCUCAGAGACAGCCCCGGCUAACUACGUGCCAGCAGCCGCGGUAAUACGUAGGGGGCAAGCGUUGUCCGGUUUUACUGGGUGUAAAGGGCGCUCACACGGCAGAGCAGAAAUCCUACAGCUUAACUGUAGAACUGCCUUUGAUACUGUUAUACUUGAGUUCGGGAGGGGGAGACGGAAUUCCAGGUGUAGUGGUGAAAUACGUAGAUAUCUGGAAGAACACCAGUUGCGAAGGCGGUCUCUUGGUCCGAUACUGACGCUGAGGCGCGAAAGCGUGGGGAGCAAACAGGAUUAGAUACCCUAGUAGUC
This 450-nucleotide ribosomal RNA is filed under the name uncultured bacterium. RNAcentral's name for it is "partial 16S ribosomal RNA". It matches the Rfam family "Bacterial small subunit ribosomal RNA", at positions 338 to 795 of the family's 1533-position model. The record is from RNAcentral.